CCUGUCAGUUCAUUUACACAGCAGACCAUCCUGUUCACAGACGAUCUAAGUCUCCUGACUGAUUGGACCUUUUAUAGAUAGGUCCUAAUUGUGUCAGUCCCACCUGGUUCUGGGGAUUCGAACUCAGGCCCUCGGGUUUGCACAACAAGUGCUUUACCCACAUCUCCCCAGCCUCAGUUUCAAAACAGAGAUCUCACUAGAUGUCGUGGCCCAUGCUUAUAGUCCCAGAACACAGGGGGCUGAGGUGGAUUAUGAGUUAUUUUGUCUGAGUGAAUAGGAAUAAUAAGCACAUAAUUUUGAGAUGUUUUCAGUUAAUUUUUUGACAGCGUGACAGACAUGACAGGACUGUUAAGUGACUCAGACACAGGAGUUUCUGACACCCAUCUCAAGCCUUGCAGACACCUUCAGGUGUAACAUUCAGGGACCUCACAGAAACUGAGUAUAACUCACCGGCUUUUCCCAAUCUGAGGUACUUGAGGUCUCACCUAGCUUGGAGUCUCAAAGG
Molecule: long non-coding RNA, 505 nt
Organism: Mesocricetus auratus (golden hamster)
Lineage: Eukaryota; Metazoa; Chordata; Mammalia; Rodentia; Cricetidae
Exons: 3
Source: RefSeq, a predicted model, not a curated record